GGAGGGUAAAACGAACAAGGUUUGGUUUCCCCAUUAAAAAUUUUAGUAGCCGUGAAUUUUCUCACUCCUAAAUUCUGCUCUAAAUUUGUUUUUCUCGCCCAAAUUUUGCGAUCAGACAAAUACUUGUUUGCUGGUUGAUAGAUGACAAGCUUGUUUCCCUACAAGAGAGAAACCAUUUCAUGGGAAGUCAUAAAGGCAACAUCAGGGUCAUUAACAAUUGGUGAAAGGGUUCCAUCGUAAUCUAAGAACACAACAAUCUUUUUGUUCUCAGCUCCAUGCAUCAUCUUCUGGAAUUUGUCCAAAGCAGAAGGGUGCUUCUCCUGUAUGCCAUACAAACUAUAAGUCUAUAAUUUUGAAAGAAAAGGGUGAGCUUAAGAAGAAGCAAGAUUUACAUUCAGCGUUUCUCCAAAUAUAGAUGCAGAGCGCCCUGGUGUGGCAGAUAAAUGAUGGGCAAAAAUCAGCUAGAAGAAAGAAUUUUAGAGCAGUGAGUCAAGUUUGGUCAUACUCGGUUAUAACCUAAGAAUAGCCAAAGUGUCACGAUCUGGGAGUUUGGAUCCCGAAAUAUGCGGCGCGUUCUAGCCUUUUGACAGCAAGAACGCUAGCCUUGAGCGGAAGAGGGGCUUGUGAGCACAAAGCAACACAAGCGGGUAAUUAAAUCAAAGGAGCACUCACGUCUAUUUGGGCGACGGAGUGCGGGUGGUCGGGGCUUGUGACGGCCGAUACUUAAAGGUGGGCUCAAGCGGGUCCGAACCACGAGUUCUUAGUGCAUCAAGUUGGUUUGAAGGGGAGCUAUUAUGCAAGUAAGACACAAUAUCUAUAAAGGUCUAACAACAAACAAGCAUAAAACCAAGGCAACACUUGGUUGAAGACUUAAGAUUUCAUUAAUCAUUCACCCUCUAAAGAGCUUUAAUUUGAUUAGAAGGAAAAUCCCUAGAGAACACUGAACUGAGAGUAACACAAUAAUGGGACCUCAAGCUAAGAAAACAUAAACUAAACUCUAAGAAAGCAUCUAAAGGGAAUCUAAUACAUAAAAAGGAGUUGGAUUCUAACACAAAGGCAUAUUGGGCCGAGGGAGGGGAGACCGGGCCGCGGUCGACGGUGGGGGCUGGGUUGGCAGUUCGUUGGGGAAAGGGAAGGUGGCCGGGAAAAGGGACAGGGUGGCUGGUGGUGGAGUUGUUUUUUUUUUAAAAAAAAAGUUUUUAAUUAUUUUAAUUAAAGUUUUAAUUAUUUUAAUUAACAUCUCGGUAAUUUUUAUUUCCGGGUCUAAAUAAGUGAAAAAUUGGCCAAAAUCGAAGACUAUAUAAUACACGAUUUUAGGUUAGUUUUUGACAUUUUUAUAAAAAAUGAACUGAAUGUGUUGGAUGAGUCCUGGGGCAUCUAAGGAGGUUUGAAACCAUAAGACACCGAUAAACAUU
This is a long non-coding RNA of Chenopodium quinoa (quinoa), 1415 nucleotides long. RefSeq lists it as uncharacterized. The transcript has 6 exons. The record is from RefSeq and is a predicted model, not a curated record. Lineage: Eukaryota; Viridiplantae; Streptophyta; Magnoliopsida; Caryophyllales; Amaranthaceae.